This 514-nucleotide ribosomal RNA is filed under the name uncultured crenarchaeote. RNAcentral describes it as "bacterial SSU rRNA". It matches the Rfam family "Archaeal small subunit ribosomal RNA", at positions 346 to 859 of the family's 1478-position model. The record is from RNAcentral. Lineage: Archaea; Thermoproteati; Thermoproteota.
AACUUUGCAAUGUGCGAAAGCACGACAAGGUUAAUCCGAGUGGUUUCUGCUAAAGAAACCUUUUGCUAGUCCUAGAAACACUAGUGAAUAAGGGGUGGGCAAGUUCUGGUGUCAGCCGCCGCGGUAAAACCAGCACCUCAAGUGGUCAGGAUGAUUAUUGKGCCUAAAGCAUCCGUAGCUCGUUUUGUAAGUUUUCGGUUAWAUCCAUACGCUUAACGUAUGGGCUGCCGGGAAUACUKCAUAAYUAGGAAGUGGGAGAGGUAGACGGUACUCGGUAGGAAGGGGUAAAAUCCUUUGAUCUAUUGAUGACCACCUGUGGCGAAGGCGGUCUACCAGAACACGUUCGACGGUGAGGGAUGAAAGCUGGGGGAGCAAACCGGAUUAGAUACCCGGGUAGUCCCAGCUGUAAACUAUGCAAACUACAGUGAUGCAUUGGCUUGUGSCCAAGUGCAGUGCUGCAGGGAAGCCGUUAAGUUUGCCGCCUGGGAAGUACGUACGCAAGUAUGAAACUUAA